This is a long non-coding RNA of Ursus maritimus (polar bear), 1779 nucleotides long. The record is from Ensembl. NCBI's taxonomy places the organism in Eukaryota, Metazoa, Chordata, Mammalia, Carnivora, Ursidae.
AUGACCGGGAGAAGGAUGGGGCCAUUAACAGAAAAUAAGACAACCAGGAGGAGGAGCAGGUGGGCGGGAAAAGGCAGUAAAAGGAUGCUUUUCAUUUUGGACACUUUGAAUUGCAGGUGCCCCCAAAAGCUGUCCGGUGCGCACGGAGAAGGAGCUGGGUGCGAAAAGCAGAGGCUGCCGAGGCGUCGGCGGAGAGGAUCCAGCGGUAACCGUGGGAGCGGGGGAGAUCGGGGGAGAUCGCGGGGCAGGGAAGAGAGAGGACCGGAGACCGGAGCCAGAGCCUCGAGGAACGCGGGCACCACGGGAGGAGAACCAGCAGCUGUUGGAGACACAAAAGAGAAACUGGGGAAGUGCAGCCUGGCGCAGGCGAGGGGGCGGUUUCAAGGGGGAGGUGAUCCGCAGGACCAGAUGCUUCGGAGGUCCGGUGGGACGAGGUCUGAAAAACGAGCCCGCGGGAUUUGGCAACAGGAGGUCACAAGAGACCUCCGAGGGCGCAGCGACGGUGACGCUGCCCCGGGAAUCCAGAUGGUGCCUGGGCUGCAGUACAGGUCCAGCCACGGUUCUGUGCUAUCCCAUGGCCAUGGAUCAGGGGCACGAGCUGACCAAGAACGUGAGCAAGCCAACACACAGCUGUGACCUCGGGUGCCUCAUCAGGCACACCACGCACCUGUGGGACACCAUCCAAGGGUCUGCAGUGUUGCUCUAAGUGGUACGUGAACUGCACGCCAUGGAGCUGCUCAAGGUCUCCAAGGACAGGCAGGCCUUCAAGUUCAUCAAGAAAAUAGCAGAGACACGUAUCUGCGCCAAGAGGAAACAAGAGAACUGAGUGGUGUUCUGGCCACCAUGAGGAAAGCAGCUGCCGAGAGGACCAAGCCCCCUCCCCACUGCACGUGAUAAAAGUCUUACAGAAAAAACAAACUAGCAAGAAAGAACUCAAACACACAGCCCAGUAACACAUAAGUCAGAAGAUGGGUGAUGGGAAUUAUAGUGUUUUAACGUCCUUACCGUGUUUGGAAGAAGGCAAAAGAAUGAAGAUCCACUUUGGAUGAGUUAAGUAUGCAAGAUACAUUUUUAGAUCAACUACUGAAAGUCUAGGAAUAGAAUACUUAGCUUCCACGCUAAUAGAGGAAGAAACAUGAAGUGAUAAAAAGUAAUUUGAAAAAAGUUAAAAGACAAGAGGGAAAUAAGCAUAAAAAGGGAGAACCAAAUACAGUUGACCCUUGAACAACACAGGACUUAGGGGUGCUGACCCCCCCCAACGCAGUCAAAAAUCCACGUAUAAUUUUUGACUCCCCCAAAACUCCACUACUAAUAGUCUACGGUUGACCAGAAGCCUGACUGAUAACAUAAACAGUCGAUGAACGCUUAUCUUUUGACUUGUGUCACUUCUUUUUUUUUUUUUUUUUAAGAUUUUAUUUAUUUAUUUGACAGAGACAGCCAGCGAGAGAGGGAACACAAGCAGGGGGAGUGGGAGAGGAAGAAGCAGGCUCCCAGCGGAGGAGCCUGAUGUGGGACUCGAUCCCAGAUCGCCGGGAUCACGCCCUGAGCCGAAGGCAGACGCUUAACGACUGCGCUACCCAGGCGCCCCUGACUUGUGUCACUUCUAUGCUGGAAUAUUUCAUUUCCAAUGUGAGACGGUCCAGGGCUGGCUUCUGCUGUGAUGGUCAUGGGAGCCUGUGUUGAGAUGGUGCCUGGGUCCCCGAGUCACUAAAUGGGCAACUGGCAUUGGACAUACAAUGUGACCAAGAAAUAAACCUUCGUUGUUUAAAAAAAAAAACA